Molecule: ribosomal RNA, 3106 nt
Filed under: Alosa alosa (allis shad)
Lineage: Eukaryota; Metazoa; Chordata; Actinopteri; Clupeiformes; Clupeidae
Description: eukaryotic LSU rRNA
Rfam family: Eukaryotic large subunit ribosomal RNA
Source: RNAcentral
AACCGCUUAGAGGUAAACGGGUGUAGUCAAGCUGCAAGCUGUGAGAAAUCUCCGGGUCAGUUGGCGUGAGCCUGAGCACACUCUUAACGAGGACGGUGGUGGGUCUAUCCAUUCGGAUGGGUCAGGCGCGUAAGUGUCUGAUUGGUGUAUGCCAGCCUGCUAUCGGUGUUCGGCUGGCCCGGCCACUUUCUCAUUGCGUAAGUCACGACCAUCGUUGUCGUCGGUCCGCUUUGUCUAAACCGUGUUGCGGGUAACCUUGUGUUGUCUGCGAUGCGGGGGCAGGUAGCUGGUCUAGCUUCGCUAGGUCAGUGUAAUCUUGCUGGGCAGAGUGGGUUCAAACCGUGCGAUGCGAUGUGGCUAGCGGUGUCCGAUUGUUGGCUCGCCAAUGCUUGCUGGUAUAGCGUGGGUCUGGCUGCUUGUUGCUGUCUCCGACGGCCUUGUGGUGGCUCUGCUAUUGCUAGUAGGCGGCGUUGUUGAUGUCGGCUUUACGUUGUGCCUAUAGUCUGUGGCGUAGUGGUAGACGAUCCACCCGACCCGUCUUGUAACACGGACCAAGGAGUUUAACUUGUACGCGAGUCAAAGGGUAUUACGAAACCCCAUGGCGAAGUGAAAGUAAAAGGUCGACCUUGUGUCUUCCUGAGGUGAGAUCCUGCUGUUAUCAGGCUGCUUGGUCAGGUUGAUUGGUGGGCGCAUCACCGGCCCGUCCCAUGGUAUAGUACAGGCAACUGUGCGGUAUCGGGGCGGAGCAUGAGCGUACAGGUUGAGACCCGAAAGAUGGUGAACUAUGCUUGGGCAGGUUGAAGCCGGAGGAAACUCUGGUGGAGGACCGUAGCGAUUCUGACGUGCAAAUCGAUCGUAUGACCUGAGUAUAGGGGCGAAAGACUAAUCGAACCAUCUAGUAGCUGGUUCCCUCCGAAGUUUCCCUCAGGAUAGCUGGUGCUCAGAAUGUUUAACAGUUUUAUGCGGUAAAGCGAAUGAUUAGAGGUAUUGGGUCCUAAAUGGUCUCAACCUAUUCUCAAACUUUAAAUGCGUGAGAAGCUGGACUCGCUUAAUUGGAGUACGGCAGUUGAAUGUGAGUGCCAAGUGGGCCAUUUUUGGUAAGCAGAACUGGCGCUGUGGGAUGAACCAAACGCCUGGUUAAGGUGCCUAACACUACGCUCAUGAGAUACCACAAAAGGUGUUGGUUGAUAUAGACAGCAGGACGGUGGACCUGGUAGUAGUAAUCCGCUAAGGAGUGUGUAACAACUCACCUGCCGAAUCAACCAGCCCUGAAAAUGUAUGGCGCUGGAGCGUUGGACCUAUACCGGGCCGGUUGUGCAAGCCGGGCUCAAGCUGGUAACCCCAGCCUGAUUUACGCAUACAUAGUCCGGGCAAGAAUGUGCAACCGAGUAGGAGGGUCGCCGUGGUGAGCUGAGAAGCCUCGGGCGUAAGCUUGGGUGGAGCCGCCACGGGUGCAGAUCUUGGUGGUAGUAGCAAUUAAUCAAGUGAGAUCCUUGAUGGCCGAAGUGGAGAAGGGUUCCAUGGGAACAGUAGUUGACCAUGGGUCAGGCGGUCCUAAGUGAAGUGAUAACUCACUAUGCAGCCGGGGUGACGGGCGUAUGCCUGCCAAAUAUGGUUGUUGCUUGCAUCAGCCCCCUAGCAGCGAAAGGGAAUCAGGUUAAUAUUCCUGACCCUGCCCACGGAGAUUGGUCUAGUUGCUUCGGUGACUAACCUAGCGCGGUAACGCAAACCGACCCUGGAUACGGCGGCGAGAGCUCUGGGAAGAGUUUUCUUUUCUUUGUUAAGAGUGCACCGACCCUGGAAUCGAAUUGUUCGGAGAUAGGGUUACCGCCUCUGUAAAGCAUCACAUUUGUUGUGGUGUCCGGAUCACUCUCGCUGUCCCUUGAAAAUCCAGGCAAGGCAAUAUAAUUUUCGUGGCAGGCCGUACCCAUAUCCGCAUCAGGUCUCCAAGGUGAACAGCCUCUGGCUAUUGAACAAUGUAGGUAAGGGAAGUCGGCAACCUAGAUCCGUACCUUCGGAAAAAGGAUUGGCUCUGAGGGCUAUGUUGUGCGGGCUGUCGUUUGACCCGAUUUUGGAGUGUUGGGAGCCGACCGUAUAGAGACUGCACGGGCUUCGGCCUAUGUGGUUGACGUAUAGUUGGAGCUCAUACAUUCUGAUCGGUAAGGGCGGCGGCUGGUGGGUCGUGCUAUACGGGUGUUGUGUGGCAGCAAUGUCAUGCAGUGCUUGGUGCGGUUCUCAUCGUGCAACGUCAAAUAGCCAACUCAGAACUGGCACGGACCCGGGGAAUCCGACUGUCUAAUUAAAACAAAGCAUUGCGAUGUUCGUUGAUCGGUUUUGACGCAAUGUGAUUUCUGCCCAGUGCUCUGAAUGUUAACGUGAAGAAAUUCAAUCAAGCGCGGGUAAACGGCGGGAGUAACUAUGACUCUCUUAAGGUAGCCAAAUGCCUCGUCAUCUAAUUAGUGACGCGCAUGAAUGGAUGAACGAGAUUCCCACUGUCCCUACCUACUAUCUAGCGAAACCACAGCCAAGGUAGCCAAAUGCCUCGUCAUCUAAUUAGUGACGCGCAUGAAUGGAUUAACGAGAUUCCUACUGUCCCUAUCUGCUUCUAGCGAAACCACAGCCGAGGGAACGGGCUCGGCGAAAUCGGCGGGGAAAGAAGACCCUGUUGAGCUUGACUCUAUUCUAAUUUUGUGAAGCAAGUUGGGAGGCGUAGCAUAGGUGGGAGCGCUUGCGCGUCCGUGAAAUACCACUACUCCCAGUCUUGCUUUACUUACUGGGUUGGUGUGGAUGAGUUUUACGACUCUAUUCUAGAACCAAUGUGCGUUUGUGCAGACCACAGCCCAGCACACAUUUAGGAGGGGAGUUUGGCUGGGGCGGCACAUCUUCUACAAGACAACGAAGGUGUCCAAAGAUGAGCUCAGUGAGAACAGAAAUCUCACGUAGCGCAAAAGGGUAAAAGCUCGUUUGAUUUUGAUUUUCAGUGCGAGUCGAAAACGCGAAAGCGUGGCCUAUCGAUCCUUUCACGAUUCGAGAUUUGAAGCGAAGGGGAACGGGCUUGGCAGAAUCAGCGGGGAAAGAAGACCCUGUUGAGCUUGACUCUAGUCUG